This 748-nucleotide ribosomal RNA is filed under the name uncultured bacterium. RNAcentral describes it as "bacterial SSU rRNA". It matches the Rfam family "Bacterial small subunit ribosomal RNA", at positions 504 to 1246 of the family's 1533-position model. The record is from RNAcentral.
UGUGCCAGCCGCCGCGGUAAUACGGAGGGUGCGAGCGUUAAUCGGAAUAACUGGGCGUAAAGGGCACGCAGGCGGUUAUUUAAGUGAGGUGUGAAAGCCCCGGGCUUAACCUGGGAAUUGCAUUUCAGACUGGGUAACUAGAGUACUUUAGGGGAGGGGUAGAAUUCCACGUGUAGCGGUGAAAUGCGUAGAGAUGUGGAGGAAUACCGAAGGCGAAGGCAGCCCCUUGGGAAUGUACUGACGCUCAUGUGCGAAAGCGUGGGGAGCAAACAGGAUUAGAUACCCUGGUAGUCCACGCUGUAAACGCUGUCGAUUUGGGGAUUGGGCUUUAAGCUUGGUGCCCGUAGCUAACGUGAUAAAUCGACCGCCUGGGGAGUACGGCCGCAAGGUUAAAACUCAAAUGAAUUGACGGGGGCCCGCACAAGCGGUGGAGCAUGUGGUUUAAUUCGAUGCAACGCGAAGAACCUUACCUACUCUUGACAUCCAUGGAAUUCUGUAGAGAUACGGGAGUGCCUUCGGGAACCAUGAGACAGGUGCUGCAUGGCUGUCGUCAGCUCGUGUUGUGAAAUGUUGGGUUAAGUCCCGCAACGAGCGCAACCCUUAUCCUUUGUUGCCAGCGAUUCGGUCGAGGAACUCAAAGGAGACUGCCAAGUGAUAAACUGGAGGAAGGUGGGGGAUGACGUCAAGGUCAUCAUGGACCCUUAACGAGUAAGGGGUACACACGUGCUACAAUGGCGUAUACAGAGGG